CAAAGGUUGCUUAUUCAUUCACAUGGCAACAGGAGUGGGCCUCAGCUCAACAGGACUGAGUGGGAUGAGAGACAGAGAUCGAGGUCUGAACAGAGGCAUGAGGCAGAAGCCAAUGGAAGAGUUCCAGGAGAUGGAAGAAGCAAAGAAAGUAAGCAUUGAAAUGUUCCAGAGGAAGCACUUCAUAGAAUCUAAUUUCUUUAUGAGCUUGGGACAUUGUAGCCUUUGGCUAAGCCUCUGGUCCUUUCCCUCAAGAUUGUGUCAUCCAUUUGGGAAUAUAAUCUAUGCGUGAACAGAGUUUUAAGAUCACAGCACCUACAUAUUGGAAGAACAGGCGAGUUCUGGCUGGUUGGAGCAGACGUCCCCCAGAAGACCGAAGUGUGUGGAGUGGAUUAUACCAAAGAAGGUGAUCCUUUAGCUGCAGUGUGUGGUUGUUCAUCCCCUACAACAUUUAACAGAUGAAAACUUUGAAACAUGGCUAAGCAAUAUCAGAGUAUGGUCAAGAUGGUAGAAUGAUUGAUGAGGAAGGAAACACAAGCUAGGAGAUGCUGCAGCAGUUUGCUCUUGCCUGAGCCCACGAAAAAAGGCAAGAUUUUGCCCCUGCUGAUCUGAGGCCCCAUCUACACUGUUUAAUGCAGUUUGGAGCUACAAACUGAGGUGGCCAGAUAAGAAACUCCCAUUAAGUGUGAGAAAGAAAGCCUCUUAAUGUGCACCAGUGCUCUGUGGUUUGUGUAAUCACCAUCUGGGUCUCCAACUAGUUCCAGGAUAUGUAAUUUACACAGCAAAACCACUUUCUUCAGUACCAGCAUGAAACUGCACUAAAUGGUCAGUGUAUGCAGGGAUAGAGUAGAAAUACUACUUUAACACUUUGGACAAAUCUGAGGGCAUAAUACAAAAGGAGGAGGAGGGAUGAGGAGCUUCGACAUCUAAAAAGUAGCCAAAAAAUUGUGAUGACAAAGGAUUAAUCAUGACUGUCCCUGUUGAAUCAGAACAAUUAGAGGAUAUGGUGGUCGGUAUAGUUGGUGUUGUUUGUAUCCCAGGACAGAAACUUGUAGCAUUCUGACAGUUUUUUUAAAGUAUCCUCUCAUUUACUUCUGAAUUGUAAGAAAAAAGUAUAAUGAAACUCUAAUGGUAACUGAAGAAUGUGGACUGAGAGCUGCAAAUUUUAAGUAAUUUUUCAUAUUCUGUUGUGAUGGGGACCAAAAUACUUGCAUUUUGUUUCUGCAUGUAUGCUUUUGUUAGCAUAUCCUACACUAGAGCCAUGUUGAAUCUUUCUGUCUUUUCAGAGAUUCGUUAUGGUGGAUCUGAAGCACAGGAAAGAAAUAAGAAAACAAUUUCAAAACCAUCCUCAAAAAAUUAAAAAGAAGCAUUGUUGAUUUUUUUCCCCCACUGACUGACAUCAGAUUGGAAAAAUGGCAACAGAGUACAUGUUAUUUAUCCAGGUUAUGGGUGGGAGUCAAGCUGGCCCAUAGGCCAAACAUAGAUCUCCGGGAUUUUCAGAUUCUCCCCAAACCACACUCCCUUAGUAGCCCUGCUCUAGGCUAUAGGAAUUAUUUACUUAUUUGUGCUCUGUUUCCCAACCACAGAGCUAAUUGAGGGAAUCUUGCACAAGUGGGAAAAGGUGAAUGUGCACAUGCAAAUCUGCACUGCCUCAAAGUUGCAUAAAAGACAAAUAUUAGUUUUGUCUCUAACACCAUUCCCUUUGGCUCUGGACACACCCAGUGCUGGAUGAGGGAGGCAGUUCACACUGUCAACUUCAGCAGGAAUAAAGGUCUCCAUUCUUUGUGUGUCCUUGGCUGUGAACGAGUGAGCUCACUUGAUGCAGAGUUAUUGCAUUAUCAAUAAACACAAUAAAAUAACUUUGUGUUCA
Molecule: long non-coding RNA, 1867 nt
Organism: Anolis carolinensis (green anole)
Lineage: Eukaryota; Metazoa; Chordata; Lepidosauria; Squamata; Anolidae
Exons: 5
Source: RefSeq, a predicted model, not a curated record